Molecule: long non-coding RNA, 1572 nt
Filed under: Meriones unguiculatus (Mongolian gerbil)
Lineage: Eukaryota; Metazoa; Chordata; Mammalia; Rodentia; Muridae
Description: lncRNA (ENSMUGG00000008402.1)
Source: RNAcentral
GUGCGGGGCGGGGGGGGGGGCCGCCACGGCGGGGCGGGGCACGUCACCUUUUUAUUUUUUCAAUAAAGAGUUUCAGAGUUGGUUUUUUGUUUUUUUAAUUAACAGACUAUGGUGGUGCUCCUCUAUGGUUUCAGCACUUGGGAAACGGAGGCAGAGGGAUCGCAAAUUUGAUGUCAACCUGGGCUACGUAGUGAGACCUUGUUUUUAAAAAGAAUUCUUUUUAAAGGUAAAGGACUUUAAAAGGACUUUCUCGCCGGGCAUGGUGGCUCAGAGGCAGGCGGGUCUACAAAAUGAGUCCAGCCAGCCAACGAACGCUACACAAGAAGGAGAUAAGAAAAUUUCCGAUUGAGAAGUGCAAUUGUUUUUCGGAGCCUGGUAUUAGAGCUGAAAGGCAGCUAUGGCGAAAGAGAAGACAUGCUGAUCAGAGAAAGCUGCAGAAGAGAGCAAGACCAAAAGAAGCCAGGUGGCCGAGCCUGUCAUCCCAGCACUCGGGAAGGACAGGCAGGAGGAGCAGGAGUGGAAGGCUGGAUGAGACCUCACCUUGGGAGAACAGUAGGGGCUGUUUGAGGAAGACAGCAGAAGAAGAAAGGGUGGACUGCCAAGUGCGGGCUCUCGGGGAGGGAGCAGUGCGGCGGAGACAUAUGGAGCGUGUUUGAAACAAACGCCGGCGGAGAAUGCAAGUGUGAUAAACAUGGUGGUCAGAGGAGGAAUCGCUGGAAUGGGGCUGCAGAGUCGGCUGUCUGAGGCCGGAGGAGCGGUUGCCACACUCAGAGCCCCGGCCAGCACCCCCUCCUGUUGUUCUUUCUGGAGCCACAUUCUUUUCCAUUAAAAGAAGAAGAAGAAAGUUGGCUACAGACAAGGUCAAAGGCAGUGAUUAGUCCGCCGGAAGCGGAGCUUCGUGCAACCGAGCAAAGCCUGCAUCGUAAGUCUCAUCCCCUGCAGUACCGACCCGGAACCUCGCCGUGUGCCUCCCGAGCACGGAAUCCAUCGCUGAAUGAAUGAACCGGCCGAGGACGGGGAGUGCUAAGCGAUGGGGAAGUGAAAGACCAGGACUUUAUAGACGGAACUGCCGCUGCGGGGGGCAUGGAGGGCCCAGAGCCCGGAGGGAGGCCAGCGCGCAGGGUGGGAAGGGAUGGGCUCCGUUUAAAAGGAAAAGGCCCUGGAGGCCUGCGCCGGCUCAAGGCUUGGGAUUACAGGUGUGUGCACCCUGCUUGGCUUAAAAAUCACAUUUCAAACGUUUUUUUGAGUCUACCCAGGAGUUUAGGCCUCAGUUUUCUGCCUGGCUGGCGCAUUUCUGGUCCGAAUUCCUGACGCUUUGGCCUGGGCUUCCUGCUGAUGUCUGUUUGGUCUGGUUUGGUUGAGGGCAGUCUGGCCUUAGCUAUAAGCUCAGAGCGCCGCAUUUGGCCUCUGGUGUUAAUUUUUGUUAAAAACUACAACUCUAACUUUAAAAAAAAAAAGUCAUUAGAAAAACAUUUUAAGACACUAUUUUUCACAUAAACGUUUAAAACAAGCUUCAAACAUUCUGGUAACCACGUAUGUGGAAUAAACAGUCCUCAGGGAGAAAAAAGUUCA